This 438-nucleotide ribosomal RNA is filed under the name uncultured bacterium. RNAcentral describes it as "bacterial SSU rRNA". It matches the Rfam family "Bacterial small subunit ribosomal RNA", at positions 28 to 478 of the family's 1533-position model. The record is from RNAcentral.
GACGAACGCUGGCGGCGUGCUUAACACAUGCAAGUCGAACGGAAAGGCCCUGCUUUUGUGGGGUGCUCGAGUGGCGAACGGUGAGUAACACGUGAGUAACCUGCCCUUGACUUUGGGAUAACUUCAGGAAACUGGGGCUAAUACCGGAUAGGAGCUCCUGCUGCAUGGUGGGGUUGGAAAGUUUCGGCGGUUGGGGAUGGACUCGCGGCUUAUCAGCUUGUUGGUGGGGUAGUGGCUUACCAAGGCUUUGACGGGUAGCCGGCCUGAGAGGGUGACCGGCCACAUUGGGACUGAGAUACGGCCCAGACUCCUACGGGAGGCAGCAGUGGGGAAUAUUGCACAAUGGGCGGAAGCCUGAUGCAGCAACGCCGCGUGCGGGAUGACGGCCUCGGUUGGUAACCGACUUCGUCCUCGUGACGAAGACGUGAGUGACGGUAA